This 201-nucleotide ribosomal RNA is filed under the name uncultured bacterium. Its description in RNAcentral is "partial 16S ribosomal RNA". It matches the Rfam family "Bacterial small subunit ribosomal RNA", at positions 1300 to 1500 of the family's 1533-position model. The record is from RNAcentral.
GCAGUCUGCAACUCGACUGCAUGAAGCUGGAAUCGCUAGUAAUCGCGGAUCAGAAUGCCGCGGUGAAUACGUUCCCGGGUCUUGUACACACCGCCCGUCACACCAUGGGAGUCAGUAACGCCCGAAGUCAGUGACCGAACCGAGAGGACGGAGCUGCCGAAGGCGGGACGGAUAACUGGGGUGAAGUCGUAACAAGGUACC